Long non-coding RNA from Triticum aestivum (bread wheat), 409 nucleotides. RefSeq lists it as uncharacterized. NCBI's taxonomy places the organism in Eukaryota, Viridiplantae, Streptophyta, Magnoliopsida, Poales, Poaceae. The transcript has 3 exons. The record is from RefSeq and is a predicted model, not a curated record.
CCACACACAACCGCCGCCAUGGUUGGAGAAAGAAAAGCUCAGAUGUGCUGUUGUCUUGUGAUGUCUUCAUAGAUCUUCUUCCUCCCAUUUCUUCCUUCCAACCUCCUCCUCCUCUGAUCGCCCAAAUUUCUACAGACACCAGAAGAAAUGGUUGAAACUUCAGAUCCUGCCCAAAACACAUAUCUAUCAAAAGGAAAAGCAAAAGGAAGAGAGAAGAAACUUGCAGAACAAGGUGCUUCUAGUCAUUCUAAGGCAAGUAAAAUUGCAGCAAAUGUUCAAGAGCAAGAACUAUAUAAGAAUGCAGAUAGAUGAGAAGACAACAAGGUGCUGAAAAAUUCAGAUCAAGGGAAUGAACAUGUGUAGUCGGGAAGAAAUUCAGAUCAAGGGAAUGAACAUGCAACAUAUGAGG